UACUGUGUAAUGCGACGACGAAAAGAAAGAGAAAAAAAAAAAGAAAAAGAUAGAAUAAAACAUUGGAUAAGUAAGAGGAAGGGGUUAAAAAAGAUGGCCGUUCUGAAACAUAUGACAAAGAACGGCGGGCAACCGCCGCGGCUGAAAACAAUUUUCACGGAAUGUGUUUUACGAUAUCGUUGAUCUUCGUCCUCGUGUAGAGGUGUAGUGAUUUUUCGAAUAAAGGGAUCGUGGCUAUAAAAGUCAGUGAUCCUGUUAGCAAAGGAGCCAUGACUACGAGUAAAGAAUGGGCUCGAUCGCAUCGGUGUUGCAGUGGCAUUGCUCGGAGUGCACUCUGAUAAAUCCAACGGAGAGCACGCGAUGUGCCAGGUGCGGCAUUACUCGUUUUAGGAGUGAUGAGAAGGCAAAUCUCAGGUUCAACCUGAGUUUGGAGCACGAAGUUCCAGGACAAAAAGAAGAGGAAAAGCAAAGAAACGAGGAAGGUGACUCUUCCUCAGUCUCCAUUCUACCAACAUCUCUACCGAAACUUCAUUUGAAGAAACUACCAGUGGACAAUACAUGUCCAACAGCUUAUGAAUACGUCAAAACCGAUCUCAUACAUUGCUCAGAGGGGAAUUUAAUUCUAUCUAAUCAUACAAAGAAAUCUCAUCAUGAUUUAUGGAAGGGAAAAUCUUAUAAAAAGGAAUCAGUUAAACGAUCUUUUUCUCUACCUUCCUUAGUAACACAAUGGACUUGUGUUCGUUGUCUAUUAGACAACAAUUGCAGUUCUGGUAUAAUUUGCAUAGCUUGUGAUGCAAAUUCUUCUAUAGCUAAAAUUGACAAAAAACAGAUUGGUGCACGUAGAAGCAAAAAAUUAAAUUUACGUAAAACAAAUCGCCUUAAAGUUGAAUUGUCUGAACUUCUGGCGAACAGUUUAGAUGGUUUCAAUACAAAUUCUUCUACAAAUGAUGCAAAAAUUAUUAAUAAAGAUAUGGCACAAUUAACAAGUAUAAGCCGUAGUGAAAGGAGACAAGACAGAGAAGACUGGACUUUACCACCAAUAGAAACUAUGGAAUCUACUACACUUUCUUUUACAAAUACUACUGAUACCUCUCAACGUUCACCAAAAAGACAUAGUCCUUCAAUUUAUGAACGAGUUAAAUCCAAAGUUAGUCGCUCUUUAUCUAAUGGAUCUGUUGUACAUAAGUUAUCUGAACAUGCAAUUCAAAGACCAACAAGUUUAGUAGUCUCAGAAUCACAACAAGAUGAUGCUCUCUGGAGUUGUGAUAAUUGUACUCUUGAUAAUGCUCCUGGCCUAGAACAAUGUGAAGCAUGUGAAGCUCCUAGAAGUCCAGCUCCUUGCAGUGGAGUAGUUAUCAGUGUACCUGCCUGGGAACCACGAGCUCUAUCUUCUGCAGGUUCACUUUCUUAUAGACGUUCUUUUUCCGAUGUUGAAUCUGUUACAAAUAUAUCUCAGAAAAAAAUUGUCAAUCGUAGAAGUCUCAAUGAAGAUGAACCACCUGCAGUACCACCUCAUUCUGUUGGUUUUAGUACAAAGCCAAAGUAUUCUUAUAUUGGAAUUACUGAUCCUGAUAUACCACCACCAUUGCCAAAAAAACAAAAUAAUAAAUUAGGUCUUAUACCCACAAAAGCACAUAGUGAAGCAACUAGUCCUGUUGAUGUACCAAAUGUAAAUUCAUUAAAACGUAUGUGGACGUGUCGAAAAUGUUCUUACGCCUAUAAUCCUUUAUGGUCAACAGGUUGCGAUAUAUGUGGAUCUUCUCGAUCACCGCCUUCAUUAAUGCAACCUAGUUUAAUAACUGUCACAAAAGAUGAAACAAAUUGUUCAAUGCAUACACAAUCUCCAAUUGUAGUAUCUAGAGAUAGUGUAAGAUACAUUCCACAAAAAACUGCUACAUUGGCUACAGCUGAAUCUGAUUUAGAUGAUCAAAUUGAUCCACCUUCUCCUGUAUGGACUUGUAAAAAAUGUACAUUAUUAAAUGCUGCUUCAAGAACAACAUGUGAGGCAUGUGGUGGUUCAAAGCUUAAAAGUAUUAUGCAUUUAGAAGACGCGACAUUACGAAAAGGAGAAAGCUGGGUGUGUCCAUCAUGUACAUUAAGAAAUCCACUAUCAGCACAAACUUGUAAUGCUUGUAAGACAUUAGCAGAUUUUCUAGAUAUACCAAAAGAUAGCAAAUUUUUUGGAUCAAGAAGUCCAAGUCCAAGACUCUGUUCGACUCCUAUAAAUUCAAAAAUUGUUACUUCAAAACAUAAAAAUUCUGUAAGAAGAAACAAUUCUUCAAUUGGAGAUAAAAGACAUUCAAGAAUUAAAGAUUCUGCUCAUGGCCAAUGGCAAUGUAAAUUGUGCACAUAUGAAAAUAAGAGUACAAAUGGAAUUUGUGAAAUGUGCCAAAUCUCAAAAAAUUUAUCUCAAUUACCAGUUGAAAGGCCUAGAAUUGAAUCUGGCAUAAGUACUCUUACAAUGCAACGGCAAGAAAGUGUAGUUAUGGAAAAUUUAAGACAAAUUGAAGAAAGAGAAGCAUUGGAAAAAUGGGAACGAAUUGUUCGCUAUUGCAAGGAGACGAAUGAACCUUUUGUUGAUGAUUCAUUUCCACCAGCUCCAAAAUCUCUAUAUUACAAUCCAGCUGAAACAAAAGAUAACCAUGUUGUUCAAUGGAGAAGGCCUCAUCAAAUUAAUGUUGAUUCUACAGUUGAUUCUAAACUGCCUUGGGCUGUUUUUAGAAAACCUUUACCUUCUGAUAUUUCACAAGGUGUAUUAGGAAAUUGUUGGUUACUGUCAGCUUUAGCUGUUUUAGCUGAAAGUGAUGAACUUGUAAAGAGAGUUUUAGUAAUGAGAGAAACCUGCCCAGAAGGAGCUUAUCAAGUAAGACUAUGUAAAGAUGGAAAAUGGACCACAGUGCUUGUUGAUGACUUAUUACCCUGUGAUAAAAGAGGCCAUCUAGUAUACUCUCAGGCAAAAAGAAAACAACUUUGGGUGCCAUUAAUUGAAAAAGCAGUGGCUAAAAUUCAUGGUUGCUAUGAAGCUUUAGUAUCAGGACGUGCAAUAGAAGGUUUAGCAACACUUACAGGUGCUCCCUGUGAGAGUGUGCCUUUACAACCAUCUGCUUUGCCAAGUGAAGAUGAACUUGAUAAGGAUUUAAUAUGGGCACAACUUUUAUCUUCAAGGCAAGCUAUGUUUUUAAUGGGUGCUAGUUGUGGAGGUGGUAACAUGAAAGUUGAUGAGGAAGAAUAUCAACGUAAAGGUUUAAGACCAAGGCAUGCUUAUUCUGUUCUUGAUGUACGAGAUGUACAGGGAAUACGAUUAUUGAGAUUACGUAAUCCAUGGGGUCACUACAGUUGGAAGGGUGAUUGGUCUGAUGAUAGUCCUAUCUGGACAUCGCAAUUACGAGAAAUGCUUAUGCCACAUGGUGCUUCUGAUGGUGUUUUCUGGAUUUCUUUUGAUGAUGUAUUAAAAUAUUUUGAUUGUAUUGAUAUUUGUAAAACUAGAGUUGGAUGGAGUGAAGUUAGAUUGCGCGGAACACUUCCACCUUUAUCAUCUCUCAGACAUUUAUCAUGUGUACUUUUAACGGUACUAGAGCCGACUGAAACAGAAUUUACAUUAUUUCAAGAAGGACAGAGUUGUUUUUCGUACACGUUCGCCAGCAGCACCAGAAGUAGGAAGAUUAGUAGAACAUAGUAAACGACAAGUACGUGGAUUUGUUGGAUGUCAUAAAAUGCUAGAAAGGGAUUUAUAUAUUGUUGUAUGUUUGGCCUUUAAUCAUUGGCAUACAGGAAUGGAAGAUACUUCUAGCUAUCCUGAAUACGUUCUUGCCAUUCAUAGUUCAAAAAGACUAUUAGUUGAACAAAUUUCUCCACCAGCAUUUGUCUUAGCUGAUGCUAUAAUAAGUUUAACUCUAACAAAAGGACAGCGACAUGAAGGAAGAGAAGGAAUGACUGCUUAUUACUUAACUAAAGGUUGGGCUGGACUUGUAGUAAUGGUAGAAAAUCGUCAUGUAAAUAAAUGGAUUCAUGUAAAAUGUGACUGCCAUGAAAGCUAUAAUGUUGUAUCCACAAGAGGACAACUCAGAACUGCCGAUAGUGUUCCCCCGCUUCACAGACAAGUCAUUAUAGUUUUAACACAAUUGGAAGGUAGUGGAGGUUUUUCAAUAGCACAUCGACUUACGCACAGAUUAGCAAACAGUGGAAACUUGCAUGAUUGGGGUCCGCCAGAUACUCAACAUUGUCCACAAAUUGACACUCAAGUUG
RNAcentral lists this unclassified non-coding RNA (4245 nucleotides) under Apis dorsata (giant honeybee). Its description in RNAcentral is "calpain-D-like, transcript variant X2". The record is from RNAcentral. Lineage: Eukaryota; Metazoa; Arthropoda; Insecta; Hymenoptera; Apidae.